GUGUUGGGAAAGAUUCAUCGGUAUGGGAUGGGGUCGCGUCCUAUCAGGUAGUCGGCGGGGUAACGGCCCACCGAGCCUACGACGGGUAGCCGGCCUGAGAGGGCGACCGGCCACAUUGGGACUGAGAUACGGCCCAGACUCCUACGGGAGGCAGCAGUGGGGAAUAUUGCACAAUGGGCGCAAGCCUGAUGCAGCGACGCCGCGUGCGGGAUGACGGCCUUCGGGUUGUAAACCGCUUUUGACUGGGAGCAAGCCCUUCGGGGUGAGUGUACCUUUCGAAUAAGCACCGGCUAACUACGUGCCAGCAGCCGCGGUAAUACGUAGGGUGCAAGCGUUAUCCGGAAUUAUUGGGCGUAAAGGGCUCGUAGGCGGUUCGUCGCGUCCGGUGUGAAAGUCCAUCGCUUAACGGUGGAUCCGCGCCGGGUACGGGCGGGCUUGAGUGCGGUAGGGGAGACUGGAA
RNAcentral lists this ribosomal RNA (460 nucleotides) under uncultured Bifidobacterium sp. Its description in RNAcentral is "bacterial SSU rRNA". It matches the Rfam family "Bacterial small subunit ribosomal RNA", at positions 195 to 666 of the family's 1533-position model. The record is from RNAcentral. Lineage: Bacteria; Bacillati; Actinomycetota; Actinomycetes; Bifidobacteriales; Bifidobacteriaceae.